UCCUACGGGGGGCAGCAGUGAGGAAUAUUGGUCAAUGGCCGGAAGGCUGAACCAGCCAAGCCGCGUGAAGGACGAAGGUGCCAAGCAUUGUAAACUUCUUUUGUCAAGGGACAAAAUCAGGCUCGAGAGCCUGACCGCGGGUACUUGAAGAAAAAGCAUCGGCUAACUCCGUGCCAGCAGCCGCGGUAAUACGGAGGAUGCGAGCGUUAACCGGAUUUAUUGGGUUUAAAGGGGGCGUAGGCGGACUGUUAAGUCAACGGUAAAAGCCGGGG
This 272-nucleotide ribosomal RNA is filed under the name uncultured bacterium. RNAcentral describes it as "partial 16S ribosomal RNA". It matches the Rfam family "Bacterial small subunit ribosomal RNA", at positions 337 to 606 of the family's 1533-position model. The record is from RNAcentral.